AGAUUGACAAGAUAUGAUAUGCCACAAAUAGAUGAGAACAACAAUAAAGUAGAAUGUAGCCAUAUUUGUCACCAAACUCUCUGUGUCAAUCCUGAACACAUAACUAUUGAACCUCAUGCUAUAAAUCAAGACCGCCUACAUUGUAAAAAUCAGGGCCAUUGCUCUAAAAGUCACAAGCCAUAUUGUUUAAUAUGUAAUUUAAUAAAUAAAUAUUUAUUUUCUAACAGAUCUUUUUCUCUUUCGGUCAUUUCUGCUGUAUGAAUGGUCACUAUGUUUCUGCGGAGUAGAUUUCAGUCCUUGAUCACAUUUUAGCAACAUAUUUUUUUCAUAUUCUAUUAUUUCACUUAGUUUUUCAUACAGUUUGUACAGUUUAGCCCUUUUAUCACUUCUAAAUUGCUUGUAUUGCAUAGUCUUUUUGUGCUGUUUUUGUAAAAUGUCAACUUUUUGUAUUUCUUUUAGAGCCUUGUAUGCAGAGCCUCCCACUGGGACUUCACAAUGAAGAGCAGUACAAAGUUCUAGAACUGAUUCUCCUGGACCAAAAUUAACACUGUGAGCAGCUGAAUGAGCACGACCGCAGGAUUCCUGUUUUUUUUUGGAACAGAGACCUCAUCAGACUUUGGUCGCAGUAGUUUGGCCGCACGAGCAGACCGCCUGGCUUUUUCCUCUGGAUCAGUGUAUGGAUCAUUUACUACUAAAUUGUACUUUUUCAUG
Molecule: long non-coding RNA, 711 nt
Organism: Mytilus californianus (California mussel)
Lineage: Eukaryota; Metazoa; Mollusca; Bivalvia; Mytilida; Mytilidae
Exons: 2
Source: RefSeq, a predicted model, not a curated record